RNAcentral lists this ribosomal RNA (396 nucleotides) under uncultured bacterium. Its description in RNAcentral is "partial 16S ribosomal RNA". It matches the Rfam family "Bacterial small subunit ribosomal RNA", at positions 523 to 918 of the family's 1533-position model. The record is from RNAcentral.
AUACGGAAGGUCCGGGCGUUAUCCGGAUUUAUUGGGCUUAAAGGGAGCGCAGGCGGAGAUGCAAGCGUGACGUCAAAUUUCGGGGCUCAACCCCGUCUCGCGUCGCGAACUGCGUCCCUUGGUUGCGGGAAGGGGAGGCGGAAUUCCCAGUGUAGCGGUGAAAUGCGUAGAGAUUGGGAGGAACACCAGUGGCGAAGGCGACUUACUGGACUGUAACUGACGCUGAGGCGCGAAAGUGUGGGGAGCAAACAGGAUUAGAUACCCUGGUAGUCCACACUGUAAACGAUGAAUGCUAGGUGUAGGGGGUAUCGACCCCUUCUGUGCCGCAGUCAACACAAUAAGCAUUCCGCCUGGGGAGUACGGCCGCAAGGUUGAAACUCAAAUGAAUUGACGGGG